Molecule: ribosomal RNA, 200 nt
Filed under: uncultured bacterium
Lineage: Bacteria
Description: partial 16S ribosomal RNA
Rfam family: Bacterial small subunit ribosomal RNA
Source: RNAcentral
ACGCUCGACACCUACGGGGGCAGCAGUUGGGAAUAUUGGACAAUGGAGGAAACUCUGAUCCAGUGACGCCGCGUGAAGGAAGAGGGUCUUCGGAUUGUAAACUUAUUUUGUCAGGGAAGAAAAAAUGACUGUACCUGAAGAAAAAGCACCGGCUAACUACGUGCCCGCAGCCGCCGGUAAUCUGAGCGGGCUGGCAAGGC